UCAACAAAUUCUAACCAAUCAGAGCCCUUUAUGAACUAGCCCCGUUGUAAAUUAAGGGAAGAGGAUACUGCUGCAAUCUGCACGAUCCAUACCAUCUGAACGACAGUUCUCCCUUCGAAUUAAAGUAUGUAGAUAGAAAAUUACAUUUGAUUUCGUUUUAGAAACGAUAGCGCUUUAACGACAGACCCUCGUUCACCAAUGUCAACCACGCUAACGCUAACUGCUGACCACCGAGAGCUAUCUGUCUAAUACUCCUAAUGCAAAAGUGUAGAUAGCAGCUGAUAUCCUUUAUGCUACGAGUGACACUGUUAUCUACGAUACGUGCCUGGUAUGACAUAACCGCCGCGUUAAUUGCUUUAAUUGGCACUGCUUGCUUAGAACACAACGGAGUGUGUUACUCUGUGAAGGAUCCAGUUGAAGUGUGUUAUUAAAGUGGCGACGUGUGGGGAGAGUGUUUAGCAAUGGUGCAGGACGAGGGCGCGUCAUCACAGAAUAUAAACAUGCAGGUCCAUACAGCGUUGACUUUUAAAAUGGUCUGAAAAGUCUCGGUCACCUGUUGGUGUUUCCCAGCCUCCAGAGAUGAUGGAGGAUUCUCCCUGCUUAUACAUCUCGGUGUAUGAAGAUGAUGUAGUAUAUGAAGAGGAGGAGGAGGAGGAGGAGGAAGAGGAAGGAGAGGGUGACAUGGAAGGCAGUGAUCAAGAAGAAGUUACGGUGGAGACGGACAUGAGGCAGCCAUCCUCCCCUGAACUCUGUGAGAAUCAGGAUUCUAACUCUGACUGGGAUUCGUUUCCCUGUCCGCAUUGUGAGAACUGUUUCAACAGCCAACAGGGCCUGGAGUGCCACAUCCGGAACCACACCCUGCCAUGUCAUGACCCAGACACAGACGAAUACGCUAACAGCAACAGCCCACUGGCUGCAGACAUACAUCCCCAGGAACCAGACACUCAUCUGUCGGGAGUGGACUCGCUCCCAAGUUUGUCCAAACAAAACAAUGGCAGGCAUGAGCCUCCGACGAGGCGAGGGGACGAUCAGGAAACUGAAGGGGCUCACGGGUGCGACCAUUGCGAGAAGGUCUUCAACACUCGCAUCAACAAGCGGAGGCACGAGCAACGGUUUCACAGACGGCGACCGCCGGUCGAGCAGGCUGACCAGACUCCUCUUCUCCAGCAAGAAGCUCCGGACGGCGGUGCCGCCCCCGAUGACGGGCCGGAACCCGCCCAACAUCACGUGCUGGACAUCUCCGGCGACGUCUCUGAGAACCUUAGCCUGUACGGCGACGGAAAGGUUGCGUCGACGAGCGCGAUGAGCGAUGGCGGGGGGGUCGAGGUGGCCGCCAGCUCGUCUGCGGUAGGCGGCACGGGGUCCCUUCUGCUGGACCCGGCGCAGACCAAUCAGGCGCUGAGUUCGGAGGUCGCGACGGGCCAAGACACGGCGGGUCCUUCGCUGGCGAAGAGGAGAACCGCGACGCCGCCUCUUCUACCUCAAAUCAAAACUGAGCUGGGGACGGAGGUCGUCGGGACCUCGUCCUCGUCGUCGCUCGUCUCCUCUUUGAUAGAGAACCUCCUGCCUCAGAGGUUGCCCUCGUCGGCGGCCCACCGAGAGAGAACCAUAUUCCUGUCGCCCAAGUUGAAACGGCUCCUCGACGAGCAGGACGGCCUCAAGCCCACCCUCGCCCUCAUCACGGAUGGCCAGAAGUUCAGCGCGCCCCUCUCGGUGUCCGUCGUGCCCGCGGGGAGCAUGAGGUACAGAAGAAGGACUGUUUCACCGGCCAAGCCGCCAGAGCCCAGAGCAUCAUCAUCCAAAGUGGAAGAGAAGGUUCCUGAGGCAGGAGAUGACGUCUCGACGGACACCGCCCCUACAGAGGUCUCUGCGACACACGCGCUCGAAGGGAAGGACGACGCAACGGCUCCGGCCGUGGAGGAGAUGGAAGCGAGCUGUGUGGCCGAAGAGCGCUGGCCCCCACGAAGUGGUGGUAAUCCCUGUAAUCAACUGCCACUGGAUCUCUCGAACGCGGUUAAAAGAGGCGAGGAGGAGGCUCUUGCGGAGGCUGCGCUGGACUUGAGCUUGCAAAAACAAAGCCCAGACGCCCUGCACCCUGUGUCCAUUUCCGUACCGCCUUUGAAGAAAAAGAAGCCAAACUCUAGCCUGUUGGAGCAGGCCAUGUUGAAUCAGUAUGCAAAAGCCGCCGACCCGGGAGAACAAAACAUAACUCUAGGGAACCCAGAGGCACCUUUAGUCUCGAACUUUACCAUAGUUACAGGGUCAAGACCCGGUGAGCCUUCAUCAGAAAGCCUUGUGUAUGGCCUCACCUUGCCCCCUGUAUCACUUGACCCAUCACACACCUCUCUGCUUCCUGUGGCCUUGCAGCAGCCCUCCGCCUGCACCAUAGCGCUCUCUUCUUCAGCAGUUCACACUAUGUUACCGACCGCUUCCAACCUAAUCACAGUGUUGGCGUCCAUCGCUAAUCCCUCGAACCAAGCACUCCAGGUUGUGGCGCCAAACAUGGCCUCUGAACCGUUGGUAAUCUGCAGGGAGGAUUCAUUGAAUCUGCCCGGCUGUGAUUUCAACUCUGCGUUUGCCAAUGCGGCAGGUCUCCUUACUCUCUCCCAGCCCUUUGAUCCGGCUCUGAAUAUGCCCGCACAUGUGUUUCUCACCGAUCCGAUCGCUCUCAACGCGCCUGUGGUCGAUUCGGUUGGCGGGUCGGGGGUGGCGUUCUCCCCCGCUGUCACCUUAACGGAUUCCCUGCUUAGCUCUUACAACAUCCCCAGCAACACCGUGCUGAUAGAAUGCACCAUAGCCCUCCAGUCCUCAGGGAAUAUGGUCCCGGCCACAAUGAAUCUACAGGAAACUAUGGCGGAGGCUCCAGCUGCCCCUCAGAUGAUAACAAAUCAGAUGAUGGAGCAGCAGCAGCAGCAGCAGCAGCAGCAGGUUGUGUCCCUCCCUAGCCCCCAAACUGUCGACCUGGCUACUGUAGCACCGCCCUUAACGGAGUCCGUCACAGUGUCUGAGACCUCCCCGGUGGCACCUGUUAGUCCCACGUUAGGUGGUUCGUAUCCCGAGCCCGGGCCAGCUCCAUCGGAGGACGAGGAACGAGACCUGAAAGAGGGGGCAUACGUCGAGCAAGCCGCCCUCACCGUUGAAACUCCACACGCCAAGACCCCGCCUCCCCCGGUCGAGGAUGAAGAGCCCUCAGACGACCCGCCCAGCGGAACGCCUCCGCCGCCGCAGACCUUCACCAAGAACUUUGUGUGCAACGUCUGCGAUAAGCUCUUCCAUUCGAUGAAGGAGCUGGGCCACCAUGUGGGCGACCACGCCGAAGAGUGGCCGUACAAAUGUGAGUUCUGCGUGCUGCUCUUCGACAAGCCCUCGGCCCUGCUGGAGCACCGGCUGGCUCUCCACGGCGUGGGCACCACGUACGUCUGCAGCGUCUGCUCCAAGGAGUUUGUGUACCUGAGCAACCUGAAGCACCACCAGGAGGAGUUGCACCCGGGUCGGCAGUGCUCCCACACCCAGGAGGAGAAGGGCAAGCUGAGGCCGCAGAACCGCAACUGCUCGACGAAGGUCGACGCCGUCACAUCGCCGGCCGCCACCGCAGAAGAGUCGAAGAAAUCGGUGAAGAGAGAAGAGGGUGAAGCCGGCGCUGUGGGACCGCCGGUUCAGAUCACCGCCUCUGACGACGGAGACGACAACGACAGCGAAGUCAAAGGGCCAGACGUGCGUCUCGGCAUCAACCAGCACUACCCCAGCUUCAAGCCCCCACCCUUCCCUUACCAUAACCGAUCGCCGGCCGGAUCCAUGGCCUCCGCCACCAACUUCACCACCCACAACAUCCCGCAGUCGUUCAGCACCGCCAUCCGCUGCACCAAGUGCGGCAAGAGCUUCGACAACCUGCCCGAGCUGCACAAGCACAUCCUGGCCUGCGCCAACGCCAGCGACAAGAAGCGCUACACGCCGAAAAAGAACCCCAUCCCCCUUCGGCACUUUGCCAAGGCCCAAAGCGGUGUGCUGUCCACCACCAACGCCACCAACGGGCUCAACGCGAGCCACAGGCCCAACCACCGCUCGAGGCAGAGCCAAGACCUUCCGGUGAAAAUGAAGCUGACGGCGCUCGACAAAAGGAAGAAGAGGUCGGCGCACAGGGCCGUCUCGCAGAGGAACAAACCCCCCCCCGCCUCGGACAAGGCCCCGCCGCCGCCGCCGCCGCCGGCGGGCGCGGACGACGCGGAGAAGGAUGUCUUCGCCUGCCCGCACUGCAGCAGGGAGUUCACCAUGAGGCGCAGCAGGACCAAGCACAUGGCCGUCUGCCCCAAGAAACCCAAGGAGGUGAAGAAGCGCAAGGACGCCGCGGUGUCGCUCACCAAGGAGAACAACGGCCAGCUGCUCAGAGGAGGAGGCGCCGCCGACCCCCUGGAGGAGAGGCGCCAGCCUCCGCCCGCCGCCCAGAAGGUCCCGGGGGGGCGGGUCUACGUCUCGACCCCCGCCGCCAAGAGGCCGGCCAUCCUGCCGGUGCAGGCGGUGCUGUCCCACAAGCGGAGCACGAUCAUUAUCAAGGAGAGCGUCCAGCAUCAGAAUCAGGACGAGUCGGCGCUGAGCGACCUCCCCGUCGUACGCACCUUCAACCCCGCCAUGAGGCAGUACGGCAGGGCGCAGCCGGGGGCCAAGGACGGCGUCAAGACCCCCCUCAAGAUCACUCUGGUGAGGCCGCAGGGGGAGCCAGAGGAGCCCUCGGCCGUCCCCGGCCAAGGAGGAGCACAGACUGCUGCUGCUUCUUCAAACCAUGAAUUGGGGACUGACCAGCAGAGCCCCGCUGUGUGAACCCCUCCCAUUCAUCUUCUCCGUCGGAAAGGCAGGGAGUACCGCCGAGAGAGCAGAUGUGGCCUGUGGAGCAACAGAACACGUCCUACUGUACACAGUAAUGUUCUUGAGACUGUCCCCACUGGAAUGGGUGGCUGCAGGAGCCAGUGGAACCGAACAAUGGAGAUGAGCGAGCCCUUUGCAUUGGUCUGUUUUGGUUCUGGAUUUCUUUCGUCGUCUACCGGUUUGUAGACGAUCAAAUCAUUUCAUUGACUCUUUGCCCCCCGCUUAUGUUCUGAUGUGCACUUUGAGACCUGGAUCAGUGACUGCAAUGCGGAGUGUAAAAAAGCUAGGAGAGCAGACCUCACCUUAACAUUUUACCAGUGGAUAUGGAAUAGAUUAUAUUGAACAUACUACUGGAAUCAUAUGUAUUAAUGUGACACAGUUGCACCUUCAUUUCUUUAAAUGUGGCCUUCUCUUUAGGUUUUCAAUGCCCGCUGCAUGCCGCAAGGUCACUGAACAGAUUUUAGUGAUGUUAUGGUGGUUUCUAUGAAUGCCAUCAGACUCAAAAGGAUAAUGAAGAGAAAUUCAGGGCAAUUUGACCUGCAAGCACGUGUAAAAUAUAUACUUGCUGUCCAAUUAAUUUAUGUUUUUAUUUUAUUUUUUUCAUCAUUGUACAAUCAAGGUUACUUUGAUUUGCUUGUGUGUGUGGGUGAGUGUGCAGAAAUAUGAUCUGUAAGAAAUCAUGUUUUUCUUAUGAGAGAUAUUUUGAUCGAGUGCAAUGCUCCGGAGUUACCAUCAUCAAUGUUUGUCAAUAUACAGAGUUGUCUGGAAUAAGAUGAAGUCUAUAUUUGCUUUGCAGUUGUGAGCUUAUUAUUGAAGGUUUUAAUACUGUGCUUGACUGUGAGAGCCUGAACUCGGAGCUGUGGCUGGGUUGGUCUGCUUGUGAAUGCCGCGAGUCAGCUGGUGAGAACAUACUGCUGUAUACGAACAGCAGCCUCAUUUGAAGUCUUACUUUUGCACAUUUGAAACGGAUUGGAAUGAAAAUGGGUAUUUCAAUGGUCUGUUUCUUGGGCGAGGGUGUUUGUUUUCUCUGUAAAAUUCAUUGUGGCUUUCAUAGUCUGUAAAAAGUGAGAUUUUUUGGUUUGUCAGGGUGCAUAUGAUGCUUUGACGUUGAGAUGCAGUGUAUGUGUCGUAUGUGAUCCACACGUAACUGGCUGGAAUGGUCACUAUACAGGGUAGACUUAAUUUGGUUCAUUAAUUUAUAAGUGCUCUGUAUUUAAUUGAUAUUUUCAGAUAUUGCUGGUAAUAAGUUCAGAAAAAAAUUCCUCUAUGAUGUACAGGCUGGAUUAGAAUGUUAUUUUACUGUGAAAAGUGCUUUUAUCAUUUAAAUGUGUACAAUUAAUUAUGCAUAUUUAUUAAUUAUUUAAAUUUAUGUUGGCCUGAUUCCUCUAUGAUUUGCACUAAUGUUUCCAUAAGUGUUCAAAAUUAAAAGGAGAAUGUUUACGUUGUUAUCCUUUUUUUUUCUACAGAAAUGGACGGCAUAUUAUCAGUUAAAUAAAACUAGCAAUAAUAUUGAACUAUUUGACUAACUAUUUGAUUCAGACUAAAUGUAUAUGAAAAAGGAGAAAACCUUUCUAGCUCCUCUUCGUCCAAUACUUUCAGGGUGCAGGGUGAAACCUUUUCCAGUUGGCGGCGCACUUUUCCAACUCCUAAAUAUAUGCCUGCGAUCCAACGAGGUGGCACGGCACCACGCAAGACACAGCAGCUCUCAGCAGCACUAAUGAACCAGUGGAUCGGGGCGAGACUACGCAGAUCCAGCCCAGCAGCCCGAGAGCAGCGGCUCACCAUCCAUCAGGGGGACCCCCCACCAGGGCACUGAUCUGCAGCCAGCAGGGGGGGGAUUCCGACCCCCACAGCCCACUCCAACGCCCGACCCCCAAACCCAACACAUCUGAGGCGGAGGACCCCCCACACCGCUGCGUGUGCGAAACCCCAAAGUCGCCAUCGAGGGACGGACCCCUCGCUGUAUCAGCGGCGAGGAAAUCAGAGGAGAAGGGGAGCGUCGGUCAACGCCCAGCCCCCUGCUCUCAGGGCUGACCCGCGGCACUCGCUCCCUGGGUCCACAGUGAGGAAGCCGUGCCCUCUCCCCGAACCACUGUCACUCGUCUCGUGGAGGAGCGCCCAGCCAUGGAGGAGAUGCUCACCUGCAACAGAAACCCUUUCUCCCAGGUGUUUGGGCGCCAGGGACAGCUCAUGCAAGCCACCGUGCAGUCCCUCAACAGCCUGAACGACCAGAUCGCCAGCUUUAUGGUGAGCGGCCCCAAGGCCCUGGAGCAGGAGGAG
Molecule: RNA transcript, 7140 nt
Organism: Gadus chalcogrammus (walleye pollock)
Lineage: Eukaryota; Metazoa; Chordata; Actinopteri; Gadiformes; Gadidae
Gene: prdm2a
Gene name: PR domain containing 2, with ZNF domain a
Exons: 6
Source: RefSeq, a predicted model, not a curated record